Molecule: transfer RNA, 75 nt
Filed under: Endomicrobium sp.
Lineage: Bacteria; Pseudomonadati; Elusimicrobiota; Endomicrobiia; Endomicrobiales; Endomicrobiaceae
Description: tRNA-Gln
Rfam family: tRNA
About the family: Transfer RNA (tRNA) molecules are approximately 80 nucleotides in length. Their secondary structure includes four short double-helical elements and three loops (D, anti-codon, and T loops).
Source: RNAcentral
UGCCCGAUAGUGUAAAAUAGGUAACACAUCUGUUUCUGAAGCAGAAGCUUCCUGGUUCGAAUCCAGGUCGGGCAA